This 30-nucleotide non-coding RNA is filed under the name Rattus norvegicus (Norway rat). The record is from RNAcentral. Lineage: Eukaryota; Metazoa; Chordata; Mammalia; Rodentia; Muridae.
UGCCCUCUCUGAAUUUUAGUUCGAGUUGUA